CAGUAGCCGCGGGAAUACGAAGGGGGCUAGCGUUGUUCGGAUUUACUGGGCGUAAAGCGCACGUAGGCGGACUUUUAAGUCAGGGGUGAAAUCCCGGGGCUCAACCCCGGAACUGCCUUUGAUACUGUAAGUCUUGAGUAUGGUAGAGGUGAGUGGAAUUCCGAGUGUAGAGGUGAAAUUCGUAGAUAUUCGGAGGAACACCAGUGGCGAAGGCGGCUCACUGGACCAUUACUGACGCUGAGGUGCGAAAGCGUGGGGAGCAAACAGGAUUAGAUACCCGGGUAGUCCCUGUCUCUUAUAC
This 301-nucleotide ribosomal RNA is filed under the name uncultured bacterium. RNAcentral's name for it is "partial 16S ribosomal RNA". It matches the Rfam family "Bacterial small subunit ribosomal RNA", at positions 509 to 807 of the family's 1533-position model. The record is from RNAcentral.